Molecule: long non-coding RNA, 498 nt
Organism: Chinchilla lanigera (long-tailed chinchilla)
Lineage: Eukaryota; Metazoa; Chordata; Mammalia; Rodentia; Chinchillidae
Exons: 3
Source: RefSeq, a predicted model, not a curated record
CUCAGAGCCAGCCAAGUAUGGAAUGACACCUCCACGAACUGGAGCAAAACAAGCUGAUUCUGGACAGAGGGAAGAAAGCACUAUCAAGAGUGGAGGAGAAAAGAAAUGUGAGACUUCAACAGGAAACACACACAAAGAUGAAAGAACAAAACAUGAAUGUAAAAUACUUUCUCCAAUACUGGAAAACUGUCAAAUCAUCUGAUCCAAACUUCUGCUUCAGUGGACAACAUAAGAUUAGGCUCUUCUUUCCAUCAAAGAAUGACAAAAUUUGUCCAAUUUUAAUCAACUACGUUAAAUUUUUUUUAACUGCUUUGUGCCCUUGGCUUAGGCAAAGAUCUUUUAGAUAAGACAUCUAAAGUACAAUCCAUAAACUAAAAAAAUCUAAGUUGGACUUCAUCAUGCAAAUUAAAAGCACAAUCAUGUAAUAUAUCUACUAGAAUGACUAUAAUUUUAAAAGGCUGACCAAUUCAAGAACGGUAAGUACAAAGAGUAACUGGA